AUCAUUACCGAGUUUACAACUCCCAAACCCAUGUGAACAUACCUACUGUUGCUUCGGCGGGAUUGCCCCGGGCGCCUCGUGUGCCCCGGAUCAGGCGCCCGCCUAGGAAACUUAAUUCUUGUUUUAUUUUGGAAUCUUCUGAGUAGUUUUUACAAAUAAAUAAAAACUUUCAACAACGGAUCUCUUGGUUCUGGCAUCGAUGAAGAACGCAGCGAAAUGCGAUAAGUAAUGUGAAUUGCAGAAUUCAGUGAAUCAUCGAAUCUUUGAACGCACAUUGCGCCCGCCAGUAUUCUGGCGGGCAUGCCUGUCUGAGCGUCAUUUCAACCCUCAUGCCCCUAGGGCGUGGUGUUGGGGAUCGGCCAAAGCCCGCGAGGGACGGCCGGCCCCUAAAUCUAGUGGCGGACCCGUCGUGGCCUCCUCUGCGAAGUAGUGAUAUUCCGCAUCGGAGAGCGACGAGCCCCUGCCGUUAAACCCCCAACUUUCCAAGGUUGACCUCAGAUCAGGUAGGAAUACCCGCUGAACUUAAGCAUAUCAAUAA
RNAcentral lists this ribosomal RNA (538 nucleotides) under uncultured Bionectria. RNAcentral's name for it is "eukaryotic LSU rRNA". The stretch from base 165 to 318 matches the Rfam family "5.8S ribosomal RNA". The record is from RNAcentral. Lineage: Eukaryota; Fungi; Ascomycota; Sordariomycetes; Hypocreales; Bionectriaceae.